GACGGACGCUGGCGGCGUGCUUAACACAUGCAAGUCGAACGAUGAAGCGGGUGCUUGCACUCGUGGAUUAGUGGCGAACGGGCGAGUAACACGUGAGUAACCUGUCCUUUUCUUUGUGAUAACGGCUGGAAACGGCUGCUAAUACUGGAUAUUCAGGCUGCAUCGCAUGGUGUGGUUUGGAAAGGUUUUUUCUGGGAUUGGGUGGGCUCGCGGCCUAUCAGCUUGUUGGUGGGGUGAUGGCUUACCAAGGCUUUGACGGGUAGCCGGCCUGAGAGGGUGGUCGGUCGCACUGGGACUGAGAUACGGCCCAGACUCCUACGGGAGGCAGCAGUGGGGAAUAUUGCACAAUGGACGAAAGUUUGAUGCAGCGACGCCGCGUGGAGGGUGUAGGCCUUCGGGUUGUGAACUCCUUUGUCUCGCGAAAAAGGCACAGUUUUGGCUGUGUUGAUGGUAGUGGGGGAAGAAGCGCCGGCUAACUACGUG
RNAcentral lists this ribosomal RNA (483 nucleotides) under uncultured bacterium. RNAcentral's name for it is "partial 16S ribosomal RNA". It matches the Rfam family "Bacterial small subunit ribosomal RNA", at positions 28 to 507 of the family's 1533-position model. The record is from RNAcentral.